This 165-nucleotide ribosomal RNA is filed under the name uncultured bacterium. Its description in RNAcentral is "partial 16S rRNA". It matches the Rfam family "Bacterial small subunit ribosomal RNA", at positions 355 to 511 of the family's 1533-position model. The record is from RNAcentral.
UAGGGAAUCUUCGGCAAUGGACGAAAGUCUGACCGAGCAACGCCGCGUGAGUGAAGAAGGUUUUCGGAUCGUAAAACUCUGUUGGUAGAGAAGAACGUUGGUGAGAGUAGAAAGCUCAUCAAGUGACGGUAACUACCCAGAAAGGGACGGCUAACUACGUGCCAA